RNAcentral lists this unclassified non-coding RNA (239 nucleotides) under Glomeraceae sp. Its description in RNAcentral is "partial contains 5.8S ribosomal RNA and internal transcribed spacer 2". The stretch from base 1 to 65 matches the Rfam family "5.8S ribosomal RNA", at positions 84 to 154 of the family's 154-position model. Lineage: Eukaryota; Fungi; Glomeromycota; Glomeromycetes; Glomerales; Glomeraceae. The record is from RNAcentral.
GUGAAUCAUCAAAUUUUUGAACGCAAAUUGCACUCCCUUCGGAGAGUAUGCCUGUUUGAGGGUCAGCAUUAAUAAAAAUCGGCGUGUUGCUCUUUUGUGACGUGCCGGAGCUUGUGUCAACUUAUAACAACACACUUUCAGGGUAUUUGUAAGAGGGUUAAAAUCGAACUUUUUUGUGCAUCUUAGACGCACAUAAAUUUUUUUUUAUUAGUCUAUCUUAAAGCCAAAUCCUCAUUAGA